This 432-nucleotide ribosomal RNA is filed under the name uncultured bacterium. Its description in RNAcentral is "partial 16S ribosomal RNA". It matches the Rfam family "Bacterial small subunit ribosomal RNA", at positions 29 to 507 of the family's 1533-position model. The record is from RNAcentral.
ACGCACGCUGGCGGCAUGCCUAACCCAUGCAAGUCGCACGAGACCUUCGGGUCUAGUGGCGCACGGGUGCGUCACGCGUGGGAACCUGCCCUUAGGUUCGGAAUAACUCCCCGAAAGGGGUGCUAAUACCGGAUAAUGUCUUCGGACCAAAGAUUUAUCGCCUUUGGAUGGGCCCGCGUUGGAUUAGCUAGUUGGUAGGGUAAAAGCCUACCAAGGCGACGAUCCAUAGCUGGUCUGAGAGGAUGAUCAGCCACACUGGGACUGAGACACGGCCCAGACUCCUACGGGAGGCAGCAGUGGGGAAUAUUGGACAAUGGGCGAAAGCCUGAUCCAGCAAUGCCGCGUGAGUGAUGAAGGCCUUAGGGUUGUAAAGCUCUUUUACCCGGGAUGAUAAUGACAGUACCGGGAGAAUAAGCUCCGGCUAACUCCGUG